Non-coding RNA from Pelobates cultripes (western spadefoot toad), 796 nucleotides. The record is from the annotation of a GenBank genome assembly. Lineage: Eukaryota; Metazoa; Chordata; Amphibia; Anura; Pelobatidae.
GCCCAGCAGGAGGGGGGCUCCGAAGAAGGGGGGGACCUAAUAACCCUAUAGUGCCAGGAAAACAAGUUUGUUUCCUGGCACUAUAGUGUUCCUUUAAUAUAAAUGUGAACAUAACUAGCAUCUUUCUCAAUCAAUGCAUAAGAUACAGCUAAUGUAAUGUUUCCUGAAUCCACCAUCCUCAUUGAUAUUCUGAACUUUCAACUGUAAUUAAUUUAUUGCUGCUGUAAUAUAAAACUGUGAAACUCAAACCCAAAAAUCUGAAUCUAUUUUUGUAAAAAACAAAAAUAUUUAAGAACAUCUUUCUCAAGAUUUACAGUGAUCCAGGCGUAUUAAAACCAUAGCGAAUAGUGAGUAAAAUGGGAGUUUUUCCUUGGUGACCAAAUUGGUAUCUGAAUUAACACGUUGAUGCACUACUAAACUUUUCUGUUUAUUUUACUGUGGAUAUGUCAACAUUUAAACAGUAUAGAGGAGAUUUGUCAAGGCAAAAACAGUAGCUGACUUAGGGCAGAGUGCUACAUAAGGAGCUAUCACCAUGUGAAACCAUAUGAAGGUUUCUUAAACCUUAAACCAGAAAUUAAAAUAAUCACCCUCUUAACAUAGCCUCCAAAUCACCCGCAACAGGCACUAGUGUAUCUAUGAAUUUGAUGGGAUCCAAAUACCAGUGACUGACGAUUUGAAGCGGUUCACCUAAAUCACUAAGCACACUGUCAUCUUUUGAACUAGUGGUUUAAAAAGCAGUCCUUAAAGGAUCACUAUAGUGUCAGGAAAACAAAACGGUUAAAACCCCUUCAGCUAC